UUGAGACUGUCUACUAAUGGUUUCUAAUUUGGCAGAUUGAUGGUAAAUUUGCCAGAUGCUGCAAAUAGAGAAAAGAUACUAAAGGUUAUUCUUGCAAAUGAGGAAUUGUCUCCUGAUAUUGAUUUUGAUGUUGUUGCGAGUAUGACAGAGGGAUACUCCGGGAGUGAUCUUAAGAAUCUAUGUGUAACUGUUGCAUGCCAUCCAAUUAAAGAGAUUCUGGAAAAGGAGAAAAAUGAAUGAGCUGGUGCUUUAGCAGAAAACAGAC
Molecule: long non-coding RNA, 265 nt
Organism: Hibiscus syriacus
Lineage: Eukaryota; Viridiplantae; Streptophyta; Magnoliopsida; Malvales; Malvaceae
Exons: 3
Source: RefSeq, a predicted model, not a curated record